AGUGAACGCUGGCGGUAGGCCUAACACAUGCAAGCCGAACGGCAGCACAGUAAGAGCUUGCUCUUACGGGUGGCGAGUGGCGGACGGGUGAGGAAUACAUCGGAAUCUACUUUUUCGUGGGGGAUAACGUAGGGAAACUUACGCUAAUACCGCAUACGACCUACGGGUGAAAGCAGGGGAUCUUCGGACCUUGCGCGAUUGGAUGAGCCGAUGUCGGAUUAGCUAGUUGGCGGGGUAAUGGCCCACCAAGGCGACGAUCCGUAGCUGGUCUGAGAGGAUGAUCAGCGACACUGGAGCUGAGACGCGGUCCUGAGUCCUGCGGGAGGCCGCAGUGGCGAAUAUUGGACAGUGGGCGCGAGCCUUGUCCAGCCAUCCCGCGUGGGUUGAGAAGGCCUUCGGGUUGUAAAGCCCUUUUUUUGGUAAAGAAACGCAGCAGGUUAAGACCCCGCUGUUCUGACGGUACCCAAAGAAUAAGCACCGGCUAACUUCGUG
This 492-nucleotide ribosomal RNA is filed under the name uncultured bacterium. RNAcentral describes it as "partial 16S ribosomal RNA". It matches the Rfam family "Bacterial small subunit ribosomal RNA", at positions 29 to 507 of the family's 1533-position model. The record is from RNAcentral.